GCCCUCGUGGCGCAAUGGAUAGCGCAGCGGCCUUCUAAUCCGCAGGUUGCAGGUUCGAGUCCUGCCGGGGGCACCA
Molecule: transfer RNA, 76 nt
Filed under: Phycicoccus sp. Soil803
Lineage: Bacteria; Bacillati; Actinomycetota; Actinomycetes; Micrococcales; Intrasporangiaceae
Also listed under: 1 other name
Description: tRNA-Arg
Rfam family: tRNA
About the family: Transfer RNA (tRNA) molecules are approximately 80 nucleotides in length. Their secondary structure includes four short double-helical elements and three loops (D, anti-codon, and T loops).
Source: RNAcentral